Molecule: transfer RNA, 71 nt
Filed under: Alytes maurus
Lineage: Eukaryota; Metazoa; Chordata; Amphibia; Anura; Alytidae
Description: tRNA-Ile
Rfam family: tRNA
About the family: Transfer RNA (tRNA) molecules are approximately 80 nucleotides in length. Their secondary structure includes four short double-helical elements and three loops (D, anti-codon, and T loops). Further hydrogen bonds mediate the characteristic L-shaped molecular structure. tRNAs have two regions of fundamental functional importance: the anti-codon, which is responsible for specific mRNA codon recognition, and the 3' end, to which the tRNAs corresponding amino acid is attached (by aminoacyl-tRNA synthetases). tRNAs cope with the degeneracy of the genetic code in two manners: having more than one tRNA (with a specific anti-codon) for a particular amino acid; and 'wobble' base-pairing, i.e. permitting non-standard base-pairing at the 3rd anti-codon position.
Source: RNAcentral
GGAAACGUGCCCGAAAGUCAGGGAUUACUUUGAUAGAGUAAACCAUAGGGGUUCGAACCCCCUCAUUUCCU